CCCGCGGCGAUGGGCACGGAGCUGAGCGCUCAGUGGGCUCUUUAUUCCCUGUCUCGCCCGGAGCCGGGGUGUCGGCGCUGGGAAAGGAAAAGGCUCAGGAACAUCAAACGGUUCCCACGGGCCGGCGCGGGGGUCACAUGAAGCACCGGGAACGUCUCGGGAGAUAAAGGGGCUUUGUGGGGCUGGGAGCCGCGGUGGGGACAGCCCCACACUGCCCAGUGACCCCAGAGCUGCCCCGGGCGGGGGUGGCCCCAUCUCACCCGAUGUGGCCUUGCCUGGCAUCCUGUGCGAGCUCUGGCAUGGACACGGUGUGACGGUCGGUGGUCACAGGGGUUUUCAGGGUGCCACGGGCUUUGAACCAAACUGGUCCCAGAAGGAGCCCUGGCACUUGGCCCUGUGCCCACAUGGCAUCAGAGAGGUCCUGACCCCUCUGCUGGGAAGGAGGCAGCAGAGUUUGGAGCCACCUGGUGCAAAAUGAGGAUGCACAGCCUUGCUCCUGCUCGAGUGUGGCCGUGGAUGUGAGGGGCUUCACAAGGAAUGGGGGCUGUGAGGAUUGAGGUCCAACACUUCCAGUGGGAACUGGAACCACUGGGACCACCACACUGCAGAGCUGGGGCUGGAAAACUUUGUGUUGGGAGCAGGUCCUGCAGAUGGAGAGAGGAAGAGGAGGAGGAUGCUAUGAACAGGUUUGUCCUCUUGGCCUCACAAAAUUUAAAAACAACACUGUUAUUUUCAUAGACCCUGGUCAUUUUUUUAGGCUGAGGAAAAGAAAAGCAACCCCAGGCUGUAUGAGAGGGGCCAGAAAAGCUGUUGGUCUGGAGGGAGGAAGCAUCAGUGCCAGCUCAGCCCCAUCCCUGGCCUGGCUCCUUCCUCAUCCUCAUCCCCAGCCCUCUCCUGCUUUCACGUGCAGCAUCCCAUGGUCUGCAUUUCCCUCAGGAUUUUCUGGGAUAAACACCAGCUGGGGAAGGGGAGAGAGGGCUGGAUGCAGGCAACCCUCAUCCCCUUGUGCACAGCCCCAGCCCCUGCCCAGUCCUGCUGCCUGAUGUCUACCUGUAACUCCUGAAAUCCUUUUCAAUCAGAAUCCAAAUGUGCUGUAUUUGGGGAAAAUUCCAGGGAUCUGCAGCCAGGUUGGAUUUCAGAGGAGCUGGGAAUCCCACAGAGGUCAGAGCCUGCUCACUGCAGCAGCUCCCAGCCCCAAAAUCAGCCUUUGGGUGGCACCGGGAGGAAGAGGAGGAAGAGGAAAGGGCUGCAGGGUUUGGGAGCCCAGCAGAGGUGUGACCCUCCCAAAAGUGAUGGAAAUAUUGGUACAGGCAGCUCUGACACCCAUUAGGGGCAGAGACCCCCUUGCCAAAGCACUCAUUCUGAGGAGGAAGCCUCCUUACUCUUUACUUUCCUAAAACCCCCCAAAAAAUGGAUUUCUCUUGGCCAGAGGAGCCGGGCUAUGCCAGGGAAGCGGAGCUGACGUUUCCUCUGCUGAGCCACAAAAAGGGAAUUUUGCUGCCGACUCCACCCCUUCCAUCCAUCCGACCAGGACCCAAAAAUCACCAUUUCCUCUUGGCCUGUGAAUCACUAAUAAACUCCAGACAGAAAGGGCUGAUUAGGAAAUUGUUUGGGAAAUGGAAAGGAAGGGGGAGGGACGUGCAGCCGGUGCCUCUGGGUGGUUUUGCCCCUUGGUGUCACCUCCCAGAGCCACGGGCAGGUCCCCACUUUGGGGUCCCCAAAUCUGCUCCAGCCUACGUGGGGCUGCAGGCAGAGCUCCCCAGUGGAUGGGUUUAUUUGUAUGCAAGGAUUUGGGGGUGAAAAUCUCAGUGUACAUUGAUUUAUUUAUUUUUUUAUUUGACCACCAUCUCUUGGCUGUUCCGAACACUCCAGGCAUCCUCACCAGAGUGUCCCUCAAGGGCUGGUGUCACUGAUUGGGAAGGGGAUGUGUGACAUGUGCUGCAGCCCCAGCACUGUCCCCUCCCUCCCUGCCGGCCCCAGCACCCCCCAAGUGCUGCACACUCGCUCUGACACAGAAAGGAUCCACAUUUGGACUUCAUAACGCAGAAAAAACGUCAGGAUUUUGAAAUUUCAGCCUUGGACCCAAAUCUGAUGCAUUCCAGAAAUGCUUUAAUUUAUCCCUUUGUCACAACAUUCAAUAAAAGGUUUCAUUUCAGCUGCGCCGCUUUGAUUAAUAACUGUAACAGAUUCUAACCUGAAGGAAUCCUCUGAUAUUGUGUCCAUGGAAAUUAAAUGUUUGAUUGCACAUAGUCAGGA
Molecule: non-coding RNA, 2256 nt
Organism: Zonotrichia albicollis (white-throated sparrow)
Lineage: Eukaryota; Metazoa; Chordata; Aves; Passeriformes; Passerellidae
Source: RefSeq, a predicted model, not a curated record